GGUAGCGUGGCCGAGCGGUCUAAGGCGCUGGUUUUAGGCACCAGUCAUUUCGAUGGCGUGCGUUCGAAUCCCACCGCUGCCA
Molecule: transfer RNA, 82 nt
Filed under: Saccoglossus kowalevskii
Lineage: Eukaryota; Metazoa; Hemichordata; Enteropneusta; Harrimaniidae
Description: tRNA-Leu
Rfam family: tRNA
About the family: Transfer RNA (tRNA) molecules are approximately 80 nucleotides in length. Their secondary structure includes four short double-helical elements and three loops (D, anti-codon, and T loops). Further hydrogen bonds mediate the characteristic L-shaped molecular structure. tRNAs have two regions of fundamental functional importance: the anti-codon, which is responsible for specific mRNA codon recognition, and the 3' end, to which the tRNAs corresponding amino acid is attached (by aminoacyl-tRNA synthetases). tRNAs cope with the degeneracy of the genetic code in two manners: having more than one tRNA (with a specific anti-codon) for a particular amino acid; and 'wobble' base-pairing, i.e. permitting non-standard base-pairing at the 3rd anti-codon position.
Source: RNAcentral